Molecule: ribosomal RNA, 253 nt
Filed under: uncultured bacterium
Lineage: Bacteria
Description: partial 16S ribosomal RNA
Rfam family: Bacterial small subunit ribosomal RNA
Source: RNAcentral
GACGAACCGUACGAACGUUAUUCGGAAUCACUGGGCUUAAAGGGUGCGUAGGCGGCGCGACAAGUUGGGUGUGAAAUCCCUCGGCUCAACCGAGGAACUGCGCCCAAAACUGUCGUGCUCGAGGGAGACAGAGGUGAGCGGAACUUAGGGUGGAGCGGUGAAAUGCGUUGAUAUCCUAAGGAACACCGGUGGCGAAAGCGGCUCACUGGGUCUGUACUGACGCUGAGGAGCGAAAGCGUGGGGAGCGAACAGG